Molecule: long non-coding RNA, 905 nt
Filed under: Capsicum annuum
Lineage: Eukaryota; Viridiplantae; Streptophyta; Magnoliopsida; Solanales; Solanaceae
Description: long non-coding RNA (CANN_LNC015080)
Source: RNAcentral
GGUGGACAGAGUUACCCUGUUGCUGGUGAGCGGUAGGAAGUGGAAGAUAUCUUGUGGAAUGAGUCAAGUAGCACAAAAUCUGGUUAUCUGGUUAGCAUCCAGCCUAUUAUAUUUGCAAAGCAAUCACCUGCUCAUAUGGCGCCACCCUUGUGCUUCAAAACAGAAAUUACAGUAAUUUUUUUGGACAAGAACUGCAAUAUAGAAACUAUUCCAGGUUGUUUGCUGGUAGAGGUGACUAUUCAAUUCUAUCAAAGAAGAUAGCCACUGUGAUGCCACAAGUAGGGUCUGAAGAGGGUGAGGUGUAUGCAUACCUUACCCCUACUCUUCUGUGUGGUAGAGAAGUUGUUUCCGAUAAAUAUUCUAUCAGGUAACACUGAACAUGAUUAAAGUGGCAUCAGUCUGUAAGAAUGAUAUUUCAUUCAAUUUCGGAUGUUUUUUCUCGUUAUAUGUUACAUAUUAUAGUGUCAAGAUUGUUAUCCGAUAAUGAAAUUAUGCUUUAGUAUAUAUUGAUUUUAAUGCUUUAUGGUUUACAAUUCAGACGCCGAAACUCAUUGCCCAUGGAUAAAUAAAAACCGUUUCAACAUCAAAAACAACAAUACGCACCUGUGAUGAGGUCAUGAGUUCAAGCACCUGUGAUGAGGUCAUGAGUUCAAGCGUUGGAAACAUCCUCUGACAGUAAUGUAAGGAAAGACUACGUACAAUACGCACCUGUGGUAGGGCUCUUCCCCGAAUGCUGGGCAUAGCAGGAGUUUUAGUACACCGAGAUGCCCUUUUAUCUACAUAAUAUUUAACCAAAUAUUAUCUAACACCUUAAUUGUUUUAUGGUUCAUAAUUCCUAAUAUAUAUCUCCAAUAUAUAGUAAAUAAGACUAAAAAAAUUAAACUUUCAGUUAUCCACAAGUGAAA